Molecule: ribosomal RNA, 388 nt
Filed under: uncultured bacterium
Lineage: Bacteria
Description: bacterial SSU rRNA
Rfam family: Bacterial small subunit ribosomal RNA
Source: RNAcentral
AUUGAACGCUGGCGGCAUGCCUUACACAUGCAAGUCGAACGGUAACGCGGGGCAACCUGGCGACGAGUGGCGAACGGGUGAGUAAUAUAUCGGAACGUGCCCAAUAGUGGGGGAUAGCCCGGCGAAAAGCCGGAUUAAUACCGCAUACGACCUGAGGGUGAAAGCGGGGGAUCGCAAGACCUCGCGCUAUUGGAGCGGCCGAUAUCAGAUUAGGUAGUUGGUGGGGUAAAGGCCUACCAAGCCUACGAUCUGUAGCUGGUCUGAGAGGACGACCAGCCACACUGGGACUGAGACACGGCCCAGACUCCUACGGGAGGCAGCAGUGGGGAAUUUUGGACAAUGGGCGCAAGCCUGAUCCAGCCAUGCCGCGUGCGGGAAGAAGGCCUUC